This 492-nucleotide ribosomal RNA is filed under the name uncultured bacterium. RNAcentral describes it as "partial 16S ribosomal RNA". It matches the Rfam family "Bacterial small subunit ribosomal RNA", at positions 29 to 507 of the family's 1533-position model. The record is from RNAcentral.
AGUGAACGCUGGCGGUAGGCCUAACACAUGCAAGUCGAACGGCAGCACAGUAAGAGCUUGCUCUUACGGGUGGCGAGUGGCGGACGGGUGAGGAAUACAUCGGAAUCUACUUUUUCGUGGGGGAUAACGUAGGGAAACUUACGCUAAUACCGCAUACGACCUACGGGUGAAAGCAGGGGAUCUUCGGACCUUGCGCGAUUGAAUGAGCCGAUGUCGGAUUAGCUAGUUGGCGGGGUAAAGGCCCACCAAGGCGACGAUCCGUAGCUGGUCUGAGAGGAUGAACAGCCACACUGGAACUGGGACACGGUCCAGACUCCUACGGGAGGCAGCAGUGGGGAAUGUUGGACAAUGGGCGCAAGCCUGAUCCAGCCAUACCGCGUGGGUGAAGAAGGCCUUCGGGUUGUAAAGCCCUUUUGUUGGGAAAGAAAAGCAGCAGGUUAAUACCCCGCUGUUCUGACGGUACCCAAAGAAUAAGCACCGGCUAACUUCGUG